CUUGUUGAUGGACGUCUUACCAGACAUGGUUAGAUGUAAUAACUUGUGUCUAAUACUGUCUGGUAAUGCCGUCCAUCACAUG
Molecule: microRNA precursor, 82 nt
Organism: Danio rerio (zebrafish)
Lineage: Eukaryota; Metazoa; Chordata; Actinopteri; Cypriniformes; Danionidae
Gene: dre-mir-429
Product: microRNA 429
Source: Ensembl